Molecule: long non-coding RNA, 2695 nt
Filed under: Homo sapiens (human)
Lineage: Eukaryota; Metazoa; Chordata; Mammalia; Primates; Hominidae
Description: HSALNT0303127
Source: RNAcentral
GAGAGUUUCAGCCUGGAGAGGACCACCCUGCUGGAAGGGUGUCCUGGGAAUGAAGUCCACGUAGGUGAGAACACACACCAGGGAUAUGUAGCUGGAUGGACUCAGCAGCCCUUGGGGAAUAAAGCCAGCUCAACUCAGCUGUACUUCUCACCACGUGGCAAAGGAUGGACCAAAGGCUGGGAGCAACUGGGAGUGUCUGGGACUGUGCCCCAAGGAAGCCACACAAACUGUGUAGCCAGACAGUCUGUCUGGGAGGAGAAGGAAGGAAUUUAUCUACCAGCUCCCAUCUCUCAUGGACCAAAUUCUUCCCCACUGUACAUAACUCCAUAUCACUUUCAGAUUGCAUAAGUUGUCUGCUGUUCUUUCGGGAGAGGGCUUGAAGGUUGAUUUUAGUUCCCUGUAACUGGAGGUGACAUGUGAAAGCUCAAAGCUAUUGAAAAGUUGCAAAGGCUUCCACACACAACUGCAGUAGGGAGGGCGCAGGAAGUGGGUCAACGCUUUUGGAGGACUGGGUGAAGUUCAGGAUCCUGAGGCCCUACUUUUUGGUCGCCCAGGGUGAGAGCUGAAUGUAGGCUCCAACAGGAAGACGGCAUUGAAGCCUGGUUGCUUGUUACUACUCAGAAUGCCAUCUACAAAAGGAAAUUAUGUAAAAAGCAAUAAAGAACCCCUUUUGUUCUUGCAGGAGUCAGUGUUUCAUAACUCUUUCUGUGAUAUCGUCUGUAUAAGUUGAACCUCUAAAGAACCUUAUCUAAGUUGCCACGACCUUACUCAUUACCCUCAAGAAAGAUGAACAAUUUAAAGGGGGAAAAAAGGAAGUGAAAAAAAUGGCGGAUACGAGGCAGAACUAACCUGCAGCUUCCACUCGAAGGGACAGAGCAGAGUGUGGAGACCCACAACUGGAACUUUUUCUCCAAGAACUACCACAGGAACAUACCAAGAAAGCCAAGAGAAUCCACAGAACCUUUGGAGGAAGUGGUUUGUCACUGCAGGCUCUGUGGGACAGCUGAGGAACUGCCAGCGUCCUCUUUCCUGUGUUGGUCACAUCCUCAAAUGCCUUUGGGGCUGGAUGAACAGUCGGCUUGUGGGUUUUCAUGGUGAUUUCAACUAAUAUGUGGAAGGGAAGGAGGGGAAGAGGAAAGACUCGGUGAUGGCUACAGCAGGCAAACCAUAUGCCACCGCAUGGGCCUGAGGACAAUCUCGGACGUCUUGCAAACAAUCACCCACACAAGUGUCCUGAUGAGUGGCGACCUUCUCAGCGAGGACUGACAACCACACGGGUUCCUACUUCAUGACCAGACCAGGGUCACCAUGGAGACAUUUCUCAUUGGAUCAGCUUAUUAUGCCAUAGGAAACAUCUGAUUGAAAUGGAACUCACUGACCUAAAGCUCCUAAAAAAAAAUUUUCUAGGUCAGUGACAGACAAGUUGGCUGCUUCAAAAAAGCCAUGUAAAUGAGCUGAAGUCUGCACAGGUGGAGCCCAUUAGAGUGAAUGAUUUCCCUCUCAUGUUGUUAUCUUCAUUUGCCGUUGUCUUAUCAACUCCAAGUAGGAAAUCCGCUGUCAUGAAAAGCAGGUGAGGGAACAAUGUCUGGCUGAAAAGUCUUGUUUCAUUAUUUUUUAAUUCGUACAGUCCUACCUGCUUAAUGCAGUUUUCUGAUUAGCAUGCUAGGCAUACAGUAAUGCAGUUUUAUUCAAAUAAGGAGGAAGGGCUUUAAUUUAAACUAAGAAAUCAUCUCCAUUUCUUAUCAGGGAACAAGGAUUCGUGAUUCAAUAAUACAUGAAUUUAAUAAUGCAUAAUGGUAGACUUCACAGGUACUAAAUAGCAAUACCAGAGUGGGUUAGUAUGCUCCAUGGGUUGCCAUCUGAAACUCCCAAUCUGGUUUAUCCACAUCCCCUCCCUUCAUCUCUUUCUUUAUUUCCUUUCAGCAAAAGAGUUGUGCUGUUUGCCUUAUUCCUCUGACGCUGCCAAGAGCCCAACUCACAGGCUGCAUCUUCACUUUACGACCGUGUUUAAUAGCUGUUAAGCUGCUGGACUUUAGCCUUUGCAAGAAUUCCCAAAUUGGACCCAAGGGAGAUUUGAAAGGAUUGGGAGGGAGAGAAUGGGGAAAGAAAAGUACGGAACUUCAUUCCCUACUACUAAUUGCUUUUUCCACUGAGGUAUCUAUCCAUGGCCUCAUUUUAGUGAGGGAAAACAGUGUAUAACGUAUUUGCAAUAUCCAGGGCCAUAUAAUCUCUUUAUAACUCUAUUUGGGUUUCACAGCUCCCAGAUACCUAAGCCUGGCAUUCCAAUGAUAGCUGGAGUCAGCAUUCCUUCAUUUUAUGGUUUGCAUGGUUCCCUUUGCCCUGGGUUGCCCAGUGAAUGGCUUGCCAUUCUGCCUGAUGUUGAAAUUCAAAUGUGCAAAGAAUUACAGGGGACCCAACUGAAUGACCUGAGUGGCUUGACCAACAGCAAAGCCAAGGGAAUCAGACAUACCUUGCUUUUCAUCAUCCCUUUAUUUGUUUUUCAUUUUAUUCAAUUUGGAAAAUUAGAUAAAGCUGGCCCACUUCGUUUUCUACUUCUUUCAUCUGAACACAAUGAGUUAAGAUUUUUUUAAAAAAGAAUUUGGAGAAUUUUAUUUAGGGGAAAAUUAAAAUGCACAUGUGGAAUCUUGUUGGCACAAGUACAUGAGCACAAAAUGUGCUAAGUUUCCAAGAAUAA